RNAcentral lists this long non-coding RNA (1006 nucleotides) under Homo sapiens (human). Its description in RNAcentral is "HSALNT0295787". The record is from RNAcentral. Lineage: Eukaryota; Metazoa; Chordata; Mammalia; Primates; Hominidae.
AAAAGGAUUGGGUUAAAGGUUGCAAUAACAGUGACCCCCUCCUGCCAGGCAUGAUGAAUCUUCCUAUCUAGACAAACUUGCUUUAAUCUCCUUUUGUUUCCCACUCUACUUCCUUUGAGAGAUGUCAGAGAUAAUGAUGGUGAGUGGGCUAAAUUCACUUUCUUCCUCUCACUUCCUUCUCCACUUGGCUCUUAGCUUCACCUCCACUACUCCCCAUGCACACAUGCCUUCAGAUAUAAUAUUUACAGCUACUUAUUGCCUUUUAUUUGCUGUGCUCUCACUGCUAAUUAUCCUACAUUAUGUUUCAUUCUCUUUGGUUUUGUUGCCAAGAAAUAUCCCUAUAUCCUUACUCCCUGCCAUCCCUUGCUCUUAGAAAUCUGGUUUUCCUUUAAUGAUGCUGUUUUCCUUUUUCUGUGAAGUGGAGCCUGGCUGUUCUGGUGAAGUCACUGUGGGCUAGUAGAUUGAGAAUGAGUUCAUAGUCACACUUGAGUUCAAAUCUGAACUACAUCAUAGGUGAGCUGUGUGUCCUUGGAUUUAUAACCUCAAUUUGCAUACUGAGGAGAAGUUUAAGGAUCUCUGCAUCAAAGAGUUAUUGUGAAGGCAAAAAAGGGCUGCAGUUCCUGAUACUGGUUUUUCUACAUGCUUCAGCCAAAGACAUAUACUCUUUGAUCCCUGAGAACACUAUUUCCUCAGUGUCUUUGCACAUGGAGUUCACUUCUCUGCUUGUGAAGUCUAUGAAUAUUGCAUGGCUGAUUUGUCACAAUUUUAAGUCUUCAACAUCUGGAGUGUUCUGGCAAGAAUUUGUAGGAAAAAUUUUUGAAUCAUCAGAUUACCAUAGCACAACCUUGGAGAAUAAAACUCUUUUGCUCUGAAGCUCAUCUAAUAACCUGAUAUCUCUCAAAUGAAUCUAUCCAAUGACAGGGAAUACCCCAUGUUAAACAGCUGAUUCUUGUUCUGAAUACGUUUAUUAUCUUGUAGUUAGUAAAUAAAUCAAUUGGACCCUUAA